Molecule: ribosomal RNA, 497 nt
Filed under: uncultured bacterium
Lineage: Bacteria
Description: partial 16S ribosomal RNA
Rfam family: Bacterial small subunit ribosomal RNA
Source: RNAcentral
GAUGAACGCUGGCGGCGUGCCUAAUACAUGCAAGUCGAGCGAACGGACGAGAAGCUUGCUUCUCUGAUGUUAGCGGCGGACGGGUGAGUAACACGUGGAUAACCUACCUAUAGGACUGGGAUAACUUCGGGAAACCGGAGCUAAUACCGGAUGAUAUUUUGAACCGCAUGGUUCAAAAGUGAAAGACGGUCUUGCUGUCACUUAUAGAUGGAUCCGCGCUGCAUUAGCUAGUUGGUAAGGUAACGGCUUACCAAGGCAACGAUGCAUAGCCGACCUGAGAGGGUGAUCGGCCACACUGGCACUGAGACACGGUCCAGACUCCUACGGGAGGCCGCAGUAGGGAAUCUUCCGCAAUGGGCGAGAGCCUGACGGAGCAACGCCGCGUGAGUGAUGAAGGUCUUCGGAUCGUAAAACUCUGUUAUUAGGGAAGACCAUAUGUGUAAGUAACUGUGCACAUCUUGACGGUACCUAAUCAGAAAGCCACGGCUAACUACGUG